This 316-nucleotide ribosomal RNA is filed under the name uncultured eukaryote. Its description in RNAcentral is "partial 18S ribosomal RNA". It matches the Rfam family "Eukaryotic small subunit ribosomal RNA", at positions 1470 to 1796 of the family's 1831-position model. The record is from RNAcentral.
CCCUUAGAUGUUCUGGGCCGCACGCGUGCUACACUGACCGGCGCAACAAGUUUCUUUCCUUGGCUCGAUAGGCCUGGGUAAUCUUUGAACGCCGGUCGUGAUGGGGAUAGAUCCUUGCAAUUUUUGAUCUUCGACGAGGAAUUCCUAGUAAAUGCGAGUCAUCAUCUCGCGUUGAUUACGUCCCUGCCCUUUGUACACACCGCCCGUCGCACCUACCGAUUGAAUGGUCCGGUGAAGCCUCGGGAUUGCGAAUGCUUCGUGCGGACGCGAGAACUUGGCUAAACCUUACCAUUUAGAGGAAGGUGAAGUCGUAACA